Cavia porcellus (domestic guinea pig) is the source of this 837-nucleotide long non-coding RNA. RefSeq lists it as uncharacterized. Lineage: Eukaryota; Metazoa; Chordata; Mammalia; Rodentia; Caviidae. The record is from RefSeq and is a predicted model, not a curated record. The transcript has 2 exons.
CUGCGGCUUGGGCACCGCGUCCGCUACCUUCUCCUCGUCCUCCUCGCCCUCCUCCUCGCCGCCCGGCGGCUCCAGCGCCUCGGCGCCCUCCAGCAGCUCCUCGCCCUCCUCCUCCUCGCCCUCCUCCUCGCCCUCGCGGAAUUCCACCUCGGCCACCAGGUAGCUACGGCGCAGCCCCAGGAUCUUGCCCCAGAAGCGGCACGUGUGCACCGGCUGCUGCUCCACCAGCUGCUUCAGCGCCAGAGACAGGGUCUGGAUCCCGUUGCCUCAGCCUCCUGUGUGCUGGGAUUACAGGAAUGCACCAGCAAACCCGGCUACAUGGUGGGCUUUCGAAAGUGAUUGGUCGGGAGAGGCUGAGCACUGGGGCUGUGCCCAGGAAGGGUGUCUUUCCUUCCCCAGGUUUCCUGAUCCACUAUCCCUACCCACCUUGAGGCAGCCACCUAUGGACUAGAAAUGCGGGCCAAAGGAACCCUGUUUUCCUCCUAUUUAUUGGUGCUGGGAUUGCAUCUCAGCAAUGUGAGUAACCGGAACACCUGUUGUUGGAGACCCAGGAGUGAGGGUUAAGCCUCGGAGCACAGGGACCUCUGGCUGUGCUGGAAAAGCACAGACACACAGAGCUCAGGAUGAGCACAGCUGAGGCAGCCAAGGACACGGGCUGCUGACACCCGUUCCAGAGCAAUAGAGCCGCUGACCUCAGAAAGCAGAGUCCUCUUCACUGGCACAAUUUACACUUAGAGAAGUCUUUGAACGGACUCCCAAGGUCCUGCUCUGUCCCUAGGCUUGCCUCAGGAUCCCCUCCCUUUGUUUGAAAACCAAAUAAAUAUGGGCCACCUCGUG